This 402-nucleotide ribosomal RNA is filed under the name uncultured bacterium. RNAcentral's name for it is "bacterial SSU rRNA". It matches the Rfam family "Bacterial small subunit ribosomal RNA", at positions 355 to 774 of the family's 1533-position model. The record is from RNAcentral.
UGGGGAAUAUUGGACAAUGGGGGAAACCCUGAUCUAGCAAUGCCGCGUGAGUGAAGAAGGCCUUAGGGUUGUAAAGCUCUUUCGCCCGCGAAGAUAAUGACGGUAGCGGGAGAAGAAGCCCCGGCUAACUCCGUGCCAGCAGCCGCGGUAAUACGGAGGGGGCUAGCGUUGUUCGGAACUACUGGGCGUAAAGCGUACGUAGGCGGAUGCGCAAAUUGGGGGUGAAAUCCCGGGGCUUAACCUCGGAAUUGCCCUCAAAACUGCACGUCUUGAGACCGAGAGAGGUAAGGGGAAUUCCUAGUGUAGAGGUGAAAUUCGUAGAUAUUAGGAAGAACACCAGUGGCGAAGGCGCCUUACUGGCUCGGUACUGACGCUGAGGUACGAAAGCGUGGGGAGCAAACA